Molecule: ribosomal RNA, 253 nt
Filed under: uncultured bacterium
Lineage: Bacteria
Description: partial 16S ribosomal RNA
Rfam family: Bacterial small subunit ribosomal RNA
Source: RNAcentral
UACGGGGGGUGCGAGCGUUGUCCGGAAUCACUGGGCGUAAAGGGCGUGUAGGUGGUCUGGUAAGUCUGUGGUGAAAGCCCGGGGCUCAACCCCGUGUCUGCCAUGGAUACUGCUAGACUAGAGUGCUGUAGAGGGGGGUAGAAUGCCGGGUGUAGCGGUGGAAUGCGUAGAGAUCCGGCAGAAGACCGGUGGCGAAGGCGGCCCCCUGGGCAGUAACUGACACUGAGGCGCGACAGCGUGGGGAGCAAACAGG